Molecule: long non-coding RNA, 329 nt
Filed under: Ricinus communis (castor bean)
Lineage: Eukaryota; Viridiplantae; Streptophyta; Magnoliopsida; Malpighiales; Euphorbiaceae
Description: long non-coding RNA (RCOM_LNC003568)
Source: RNAcentral
GUUCAGGAGGGUGGAUUGGAUCUAAAGAGAGUGGCGUUGUAGUGGGUAUUAAUAAAAGAAAGCAAUUCUUAGCGGAAAAAAAGAAGUGUGCUUUUUGAAUGCCCCAGUUUAGUUUCUGUGUAAGGAAGUGAGAAAGAGAGAGAGAGAGAGAGAGAGGUGAUGAUGGACGUGAAAGGAGUAAAAGUGUGGGCAAUGGGUAUGCUUGUGAGCUGGAUUUUUAUAACAAAAUUAUAUGAAAUAAAAUAAAGGAAACUGAUUUGUCUUAGGCUUUGAUUAGAAGAAGAAGAAGAAGAAGAAGAAGAAGAAAAGAACUUGUUUUUACAAAUUAC